GAUGUGGUGGGGGAGUGGUGAGAGAGAAAAAGGAGUUAAACAAGGACGGAGUCUCCAUCAGCUGAGACAGGGAAGACAAUAGGUGUGGUAGAGGCAGUAUGUGGGACAUGCUACAUUUGAGACAUCUGUUAAACAUCUAAGCAGAUGGGAACAUGGUUAACUCACAAACAUGUAUUACAAGUUUUCUUCCUCCUCCCUUCUUUAAUUCCUCAAGAAACCUACACAGGAGUCCACUAUCACCUCAAACUCAGCCUCUGUGACAAUGUGAUCAGCAGUUUCACCCCAUCCUCCUCUGCUCAAUUUCCUGCCUUUGUCAAGGCUUCAGUCUCCUCCUUGGCGCUCAGUGUCCCAUCCUGCCCAUCCUGCUGAAAUGCAUCUAAGAAGACUGGGGAGGGCAAUGGCCACAGAGGGGUGGCAGAAGGCCAUCCUGUCCACUCCCCACCGGCAGGCACAAUGACCACUCCCAGCUCCUCCAGAUUCCCCAAAGCAGCCACUAUCCCCACCUUGUCUGCAAGUUCCCAUGUCCUCCACACACCCCUCUGCUGCACAUUCUUCCCAACCUAACUACAAAGAACUGAAUGGAAUCAGUUUUGUUUCCAUACACCAGGAAUAAAUAAAAUGGUUACUCCAG
RNAcentral lists this long non-coding RNA (631 nucleotides) under Pan troglodytes (chimpanzee). Its description in RNAcentral is "long non-coding RNA NONPTRT000516". Lineage: Eukaryota; Metazoa; Chordata; Mammalia; Primates; Hominidae. The record is from RNAcentral.